UACUGCUGGUUUUGUAAGGCAUUGUGGUUGAGAGCACCUUGCAGCUGUAACGCGAAUUUCGUUCCGUAAUAAACAAUGUACCGCCAUGCUGCCUGUCCUUCCUCCCUCCCAGCACUGUGUGCGUCUGUGUGUGUGUGUGUGUUGCUUAAUUCUCCCUCACUGCACUGUGCGUACGUCUGUGUGUGUGUGUUGCUUAAUUCUCCCUCACUGCACUGUGUACGUCUGUGUGUGUGUGUUGCUUAAUUCUCCCUCACUGCACUGUGUACGUCUGUGUGUGUGUGUUGCUUAAUUCUCCCUCACUGCACUGUGUACGUCUGUGUGUGUGUGUGUGUUGCUUAAUUCUCCCUCACUGCACUGUGUACGUCUGUGUGUGUGUGUUGCUUAAUUCUCCCUCCCAGCACUGUGUACGUCUGUGUGUGUGUGUUGCUUAAUUCUCCCUCCCAGCACUGUGCGUACGUCUGUGUGUGUGUGUUGCUCUGUCUCAAUCUCUCUCUGUCUCUGUCUCUCUCUGUCUGUCUCUCUAUCUCUCAAUCUCUCUCUGUGUCUUUCUCUCUCUCUAGUUAGUAAAGAACGGGCAACGUUUGCCAUGGAAGACUCUACAGUAUACAUAAGAGUCUACAGUGUACAUCCCAACCCUCUACGGCCGUUGCUGCUCCACCCGGGCAUUACCACAUCCACCCGGGUCUACAAGAAACCUCCACGGCCGAGCCUCAACCACAGAACACACCGCUACGGUUGAUGAGGUUCCACGCCCCGGACUACCGCCAUGUUAGCCUCCAUAAUAGUCCUCGGCGCACUUGUUCUGAGACGUCCUGGCUGGAGAGCUACACAACACUGGUCAUCUGCUGAGUGGUUGAAUUCCUGGUCUACCGGCCCCUGGAGGAGUGGUAGAUUGCCUGGUCUACCGUGGAUAUGAGUGGUUGAUUCCCUGGUCUACCCCUGGAUGACGCGGCUGUUCCUAUGCAGGGGAAGACUCACACAAGCGAUAAGCACCUGUCGGACCUGGAGACUCCCCCCUGAGCCUGACGGUGGAGCUGUGGGCCCUGCACCAGACCCCCACACCCCCCCACACCACCCACAGCAGGGGCAGGGCGUUGAGACUCCCCCCACAGGCUAAGACAGGGAGGGACUUGAAGAUCCAGGUUUUUGUCAUCUGCACAGGAAUUGACACGUGGUAUUUGGGAGCAGCGAGUAGCGGGCUUUUUUUUUUAAUAUAGUUUCCUUUUUUGUGUGUGCCCUGGAGCUGUCUCCUUUGUUGUAGAAAAAAAAUACUUGGCGAGGCUUUCAUAGGCGUUUUGGGCAUUUCCAGGGGUAGUUUAAUGACCCUGGUGGUAGUCUGACCCUUCCUCUGCGCAAUGAACUUGAAAAAAACGCUCAUAAAAACACAGAUAUUAACCCAGUAGCACUGGGGAUCAUGUUUCUUAAUGGUCCCUCCAAGCAAGAAAAAUGAGAAAAAAAUCACCCCUCACACAAACCAUUUCAUAUAUAUCAAAGCAUUUGCGAUCAGAUUAUGUAUCAUCUAUUUUUGGGGGUUUAUAUCAUGGUACAAAUUUGGCCUGUCGCUGCUACGUGGUAAAGGCACAAAUUUAGCCCGUCGCUGCUACCGGGUUAACCUCAUUAUCGUGUUAAAAUCCCUGUAUCUCGCUGUUAUCUUCCUCUCCCUCUAUAUUAUUUGUCAAUCUCUCUCUUUCUCUCUCUCCCACAGAUGUCUAAGGUUUCACCCAUGCAGCUGAAGGGUGCCAAUGCCUACACAUGCAUCGACCACAGGUGUGCGCUGGACAUUGCCUACAAUUCAUGGUGCAAAUGGGAGCGUCGGCGGAGAUCGAGCUGGCGGAAGGUUGGCGGCCGGGUCAAGCUCGCAACGGACAAGGAGUCCUGUGAGAUGUGCUCGGCGGAUGUUGUUGACCUCAGCCACAUCAAUGUUACUAAGGUGGUGGAGGUGGGGAAACUACAUCUACAUUGACGACGGACUCAAGGAGAUCGCUGAGACUACUACUACUACUAUUACUAUUACUAUCCUCUAUACUGAUAUGUGUACUAUUAAAUCCUCUUUACUGCUGCUAUGUGUACUAUUGAAUCCCUUGUAUAGUACUUCCAUGACAGCUGAUACUUCUACUACUACUACUAUGACCACUCAAUCCCUGGUAAGUACAAUGUCAUUAUCAUCAUCAUUAUUUAGGUUAAGGUCCAUUUAAUUCAAUCUUCCUGAGCGGUUGGACGCUUUAUGGCUCUCCUCCAUUCUACUCUGUCUUCCGCCCAAUGCUUAUACGGUCCUAUCAAUCCCAAGUCUUCCUGUACACACCUUCUCCAUGUUUUC
Long non-coding RNA from Eriocheir sinensis (Chinese mitten crab), 2317 nucleotides. RefSeq lists it as uncharacterized. The transcript has 4 exons. Lineage: Eukaryota; Metazoa; Arthropoda; Malacostraca; Decapoda; Varunidae. The record is from RefSeq and is a predicted model, not a curated record.